This 492-nucleotide ribosomal RNA is filed under the name uncultured bacterium. Its description in RNAcentral is "partial 16S ribosomal RNA". It matches the Rfam family "Bacterial small subunit ribosomal RNA", at positions 29 to 507 of the family's 1533-position model. The record is from RNAcentral.
AGUGAACGCUGGCGGUAGGCCUAACACAUGCAAGUCGAACGGCAGCACAGUAAGAGCUUGCUCUUACGGGUGGCGAGUGGCGGACGAGUGAGGAAUACAUCGGAAUCUACUUUUUCGUGGGGGAUAACGUAGGGAAACUUACGCUAAUACCGCAUACGACCUACGGGUGAAAGCAGGAGAUCUUCGGACCUUGCGCGAUUGAAUGAGCCGAUGUCGGAUUAGCUAGUUGGCGGGGUAAAGGCCCACCAAGGCGACGAUCCGUAGCUGGUCUGAGAGGAUGAUCAGCCACACUGGAACUGAGACACGGUCCAGACUCCUACGGGAGGCAGCAGUAGGGAAUAUUGGACAAUGGGCGCAAGCCUGAUCCAGCCAUACCGCGUGAGUGAAGAAGGCCUUCGGGUUGUAAAGCCCUUUUGUUGGGAAAGAAAAGCAGCAGGUUAAUACCCCGCUGUUCUGACGGUACCCAAAGAAUAAGCACCGGCUAACUUCGUG